Molecule: ribosomal RNA, 253 nt
Filed under: uncultured bacterium
Lineage: Bacteria
Description: partial 16S ribosomal RNA
Rfam family: Bacterial small subunit ribosomal RNA
Source: RNAcentral
UACAGAGGUCUCAAGCGUUGUUCGGAUUCAUUGGGCGUAAAGGGUGCGUAGGUGGCGCUGUAAGUCAGGUGUGAAAUUUCGGAGCUUAACUCCGAAACUGCAUUUGAUACUGCGGUGCUUGAGGACUGGAGAGGAGACUGGAAUUUACGGUGUAGCAGUGAAAUGCGUAGAGAUCGUAAGGAAGACCAGUGGCGAAGGCGGGUCUCUGGACAGUUCCUGACACUGAGGCACGAAGGCCAAGGGAGCAAACGGG